This 2964-nucleotide small RNA is filed under the name Pan troglodytes (chimpanzee). RNAcentral describes it as "retained intron". Lineage: Eukaryota; Metazoa; Chordata; Mammalia; Primates; Hominidae. The record is from RNAcentral.
AAGUGAGUUAAUAUGAAAUGCAUAGCUUUUGAAGAAGAUUAAUAAAUAGACACACAUAUGCUACCACUCAGGUUAAAAAAUAGACCAUUACCAAUACUUUCAAAUAUUUUUAUGUGCUCCACCUACCACAACCUUCCUUUUCCACACAGAGUUAGCCACAGUUCUAAAUAUUUCUUUUUACUAUCUCUGUGACUUUCCUUAUGUUUUUACUACCUGCAUAUUUAUCCUUAAGCAAUCUAUGGUUUAGUUUUAUUUAUUUUACAUACCAUACUGUCAUUGUUAUCUUGUGACUCACUUUUUAAAAAAUUAACAUUAUAUUUUUUAGAUUUAUUCCUGUUCAUGGACUGGACAUAGUUAACUCAUUUUCAUUGCUGAAUAGUAUUUCAGUCUAUGAGUAUCUAUAACUAACCCAUUAUCCUAUAAGUAGACUUUGGAAUAUAUAUGGAUUUUACUGUUUUUUUUUUCUUUUAUAAACCAUAGUACUAUAAAUAUAUGCUUAUAAGAGCACAUGUGCAAGGUUUUCUUAAUAACAAAUGCCAGGGGUCAUAGGCAUACACAUUUUAAACUUUGCUGUGUAACAUCAAAUUGAUUUCUAGAGUAGUAUGUAGCUGUCUGCUCCACAUCCUCAUCAACUUUUGCCAUUGUCAUAUUUAUUUUUAAAUUUGUUACCAAUCCCCUGGAUAUAAAAUACUAUUUCACUGGAGGUUUAAUUUACAUUUCCUUGUCUACAAGGGAGGCUAAGGAUCUUUUCCUAUGUUCAUUGGCCACUAAUAUUUUCCCUUGGUAAAAUAUCUUUUUUAUAAACAAAGAAUGAACACAUUUUUUUCUAUUGUGCUUUUUUUUUCUGUUGAUUAGUAGACAUUCCUUAUAUAAUUUGGCACCUAAUUUUUGUGAGUUUUAUGUGUUGCAAAUAUCUUCUUGUAUUUGGAUUAUUUUCCCAUUUUAUUUUAUAAUAGUUUUAGAAGUUGGCAAUCUGUCUUUUCCUAUAAUUUAUAUGUUUUAUGUCUUAAGAAUCCUUUUAUAACAUUAUAUUGUGCUAUAACUUUACUGGAAAUAUUUUAAAGUUUAAUCUCUUACAUUUAAACCAUUAGUCCACAUGGAAUUGAUUUUUUGUGUAUGUGUGAAAGAAGGACCUACUUUAUUCCAGUUUCAUUUAUUGACUAACUUACUCUUUCUUCACAGAUCUAUAAUUCUGUCUCUCUAAUAAGUUUCCACAUAUGUGCAGGGGGAUGUUAAGUCCUGGGCUGUAUAUUCUGUUCCACUGGUUUGUUUGUCUAUCUCUGCACCAUGAACACCCUUUCUUAAUGAAUAUAAAUGUAUGCUCUGCACUUAUAUUAGGUAAGGUAAAUACCUUUCAUUUUUGUCAUCUUCAGAAUUAUCUUGACUCUUAAUGCACCAUUGCUCUUCUAUUAAGAUUUUAGAAUUGGCUUACUAACUUUAAAAAAAAGAUCCCUAUUGGUAUUUAUUUUGGAGUUGUAUUUAAAGCUCAAUUUUGUAUAAAAUGCUAUUUUAAUUAAGAUGAUUCUUUUAAUCUUUCUUCUCAACAUAAAAGGAUCUUGGCACAUGUUCAUUUAGAUAGUUGUUGUCCUGACUUAAAUAUGCUAUCGAUGUUCAGUAUUUUAGUUUUCUUUUUAGGCUCAUAAAUUGACAAUAUUAUGAUUUUUUUGCAUAAAGGUAGUUUGUUUAGAUUCACCCUUAUGAUUGCCAUUUGUUUGGCUUACCACUACUUCUUACAUUUUGACCUUUUAUUUUGAGAUUAUUAUUUUUUUCUCCCGAAGUACGUAUUUUGGAAGUAUCUUUAGUGGAGUCCUUGAUAAUGAAACUCUUAUUUUUUAAUUGAGGUUCCCUUACCUGAAAUAUAGUUUAAUUAGAUAUAGAAUUUUACAUUGAAAUUUAUUUUAUUUUUGGCAUCUUAAAGAUAUUAUUCUACUUGCUUUUUGUUUACAGUAUUGCUGGUAAAUAAAGAGUUGUCAGUGUAAUAGUCAUUUUAGGAGAUAAUCUGCCCUUUUCCUUCAUUUGGGAUUUUUUUCUUGGUCUUUGAUUAUCUGCUGUUUCUCUACUACGAGACUAGGCAUGGAUUUCUUUUUAUUUGUCUUCCUUGAGAGUCAUUGUUUCCUAGAUUCCAACCUUUAUUCAAUUACUGGAAUUUCUCAGCUGUCAUUUCUUCGAAAUAUUUUAUUUUUUUCAUUCUUUAUAUUAUGUCUGUACAAAACUCUGAUUGGACAUAAAAUAGACAUUCAUUUAUAACAUAAAUAUUUUUGAGUACCUACUAUGUACUGGGUACUUUUUGUCUCCAGAGAUAUAUUAGUAAACAAAACAGACAAAAAUUCCUAUUACCAUGAUACUUACAUUAAAAGGUGCAGAAUACUAGAAGAAGGUGAUAAUAGCUGCAGAGUAAGAGAGACCAAAAGACCAAAAUGCUAGCAUGGGGGCAGGGAUUACUUCUAUCUUCCUUUUUAAAUUUAAAUAUCAAAAGUUUUUUCAGCUGUGCUUUAAGUGGCAGGUUUUCUUGACCUCAUAUAAGCUUGAUUGCCUCUUCUUAACUUCCAUUGUAUGUAGUAUUAUAUACAGAAGUGAAAGUAACUUUCCCGAUUUGGUCUUACAGAACAGAGUACAGUGUCCUUAAAUUUCUCUUAAGUAGAUUCUAUAUUUCUGUUCGUGUAGGCUGUUUGUAUCAGCUUCUUUGUUUAUAAUUAUUUACCAAAUUGAAAAGGACUUUAAUAUUUUUCAGCUUUAAAAUAGAGAUGCCAAAUUACAUGAUCUCCAAGGCCUCUUCUCAUUUUCAAAAUACUAUCACAUGCUGAGAGAAUCAAAUCCAGCAUUUUUGAGGUCAGAAUAUCAUACAACUGAAGAUAUUGACCAGUGGAAUAAGGUAAUUGAACAACUAGGAACACCAUGUCCAGAAUUCAUGAAGAAAUUGCAACCCACAGUAAGAAACUAUGUGGAGAAUCGGCCCAAGUAUGC